UACGGAGGGGGCUAGCGUUGUUCGGAAUCAUUGGGCGUAAAGGGCGCGUAGGCGGCCGAUCAAGUCGGAGGUGAAAUCCCUCGGCUCAACUGAGGAAUUGCCUUCGAUACUGUUCGGCUUGAGUCCUGGAGAGGGUAGCGGAAUUCCCGGUGUAGCGGUGAAAUGCGUAGAGACCGGGAAGAACACCAGUGGCGAAGGCGGCUACCUGGACAGGUACCGACGCUGAAGCGCGAAAGCUAGGGGAGCAAACAGG
This 253-nucleotide ribosomal RNA is filed under the name uncultured bacterium. Its description in RNAcentral is "partial 16S ribosomal RNA". It matches the Rfam family "Bacterial small subunit ribosomal RNA", at positions 524 to 776 of the family's 1533-position model. The record is from RNAcentral.